RNAcentral lists this unclassified non-coding RNA (147 nucleotides) under fungal sp. RNAcentral's name for it is "partial internal transcribed spacer region". The stretch from base 1 to 46 matches the Rfam family "Eukaryotic small subunit ribosomal RNA", at positions 1786 to 1831 of the family's 1831-position model. Lineage: Eukaryota; Fungi. The record is from RNAcentral.
AAGUCGUAACAAGGUUUCCGUAGGUGAACCUGCGGAAGGAUCAUUAUUGAUUUUAGUUAUUUGUGAACGUACUACGAACAAACAAAAAAAUAUUAUAGUCAAAAAAAAAUUAAAUCAAAACUUUUAACAAUGGAUCUCUUGGUUCUG